CGUGCGAGCAAGUGCAAAGGAGCGCUCUGCCCGAGAAAACAAUCUGGCAAUUAAAUCAGCUACCUAUAAAAACAACACGCUUGGCUUUAGGUCUUUUUCAGAAAGUAGAAAUCCUAGUUCAAGCAGUCCUGGGACUCAGACCUCAAAUAACUUCUUUGGUGAUGGGAGGAGCCAAAAUCAGAUUGGGUUCACAACCCAUACCUGGUCUUCUGUAGGGACAUGCAGUGUGGGCAGCGUCACGCUGAGCCGUGUUUGAAACAUCACCAGAGCCGGUCCCUCAGCAGAGCCUGACGACGAUUCACCAGUAUCCUUAUCUACAGGCAUCAUGUUGCCCGAACUCCUGAAGAAUUUGUACCUAGAGGAAUUCCUGAUGUGAUUGUGUUUAGCCUUGUCUGGGGACUAUUAGAAUUUGGAAACUUUAAACAUCGCUGAAAGGAAAAAGAAAAAAAAAAACAUAAAUAAGGGAUCUAAGAGAACAGCUACCGAACGCCACCAUUGGGGUUUAAAUGCUGGGCUUUAAUGACGUGAAGCAGGUUACUUCUCUCUUCAUGCAACGAAUCUUGAUCCUGUACCUACUCCGUGCAAGGCAUGGGAACAGCUCUAUCUGCGAGGGCUGUUGGUGAAGACUGAACUGCAUAAUAUUUGUAAACUGCUCAGUGUCUGAAGCAUAGCAAUUGUUCAGUAAAUGGUAGCUGUUAUGGUAACAGAAAGAAUCAAGGGUACAUUUCCACAUCUUUGUUAAAAAGCACAAUCCAGUUUUAAAUGGGAAUAAUUGCAGAAUACCUGUAUGCAGAGACAAACCCGCACAAUUCCAAUCUCUAAAAGUAAAGUACAGGUCA
RNAcentral lists this long non-coding RNA (839 nucleotides) under Felis catus (domestic cat). Its description in RNAcentral is "lncRNA (ENSFCAG00000041767.2)". The record is from RNAcentral. Lineage: Eukaryota; Metazoa; Chordata; Mammalia; Carnivora; Felidae.